RNAcentral lists this ribosomal RNA (115 nucleotides) under uncultured bacterium. RNAcentral describes it as "partial 16S ribosomal RNA". It matches the Rfam family "Bacterial small subunit ribosomal RNA", at positions 1369 to 1482 of the family's 1533-position model. The record is from RNAcentral.
CGUUCCCGGGCCUUGUACACACCGCCCGUCACACCACGAAAGUCGGCAACACCCGAAGUCAGUGGCCCAACCCGCAAGGGGGGAGCUGCCGAAGGUGGGGUUGGUGAUUGGGGUG